This 162-nucleotide ribosomal RNA is filed under the name Boronia heterophylla. RNAcentral's name for it is "5.8S ribosomal RNA". It matches the Rfam family "5.8S ribosomal RNA". From Rfam's summary of the family: 5.8S ribosomal RNA (5.8S rRNA) is a component of the large subunit of the eukaryotic ribosome. It is transcribed by RNA polymerase I as part of the 45S precursor that also contains 18S and 28S rRNA. The record is from RNAcentral. Lineage: Eukaryota; Viridiplantae; Streptophyta; Magnoliopsida; Sapindales; Rutaceae.
UAACGACUCUCGGCAACGGAUAUCUYGGCUCUCGCAUCGAUGAAGAACGUAGCGAAAUGCGAUACUUGGUGUGAAUUGCAGAAUCCCGUGAACCAUCGAGUCUUUGAACGCAAGUUGCGCCCCAAGCUGUUAGGCUGAGGGCACGCCUGCCUGGGUGUCACG